Homo sapiens (human) is the source of this 847-nucleotide long non-coding RNA. RefSeq annotates it as long independently transcribed non-coding RNA 1227. Lineage: Eukaryota; Metazoa; Chordata; Mammalia; Primates; Hominidae. The record is from RefSeq and is marked validated. The transcript is spliced from 4 exons.
GGUCCUUUCCAGGCCAGGCCCCUGGUCCCCAGGAGUGCGGGGAUGCCUGAGGUCUACUGCUGCCUUAUCCAGAGCUGCCAUCCCCGGCGAUGACUCAGAGUUCCUGUGGCCCCAGCAUCAUCCCUCCAUCCCUGGCUGUGAGGCAGGAGCAGAGUUGCAGACCUGAGAGGCCUUGAAUUUGUUUGAUAUAGGACUUUGCCACCAGACAAAGUGCUUUGCCUGUGAGGUCUGGCUUGGCCUGGCCUCUGAGAAAGAACAAACACAGACCUCACUGGAAGGAACCUGGAGAACGGGAGAGGAGAGGCUGCUGCUGUCUGCCCUCCCAGCAGCAGAUAUAAAGACAAUGGGCUUCUAAGUCCCCUAGAGUCCCAGCUGUGUAAUUUAAGGAAGGAGCAUGGAGAAGACAAGAACAAGGCUCUCAGAAGGAAAUGGUGUGGCUGGAGCCAUGAGAACUGGUUGUGGAGGGGGUGAGGAAGGCAAAUAUAAUUUCUGACCUACGUAAUGAUGUAUGCACAAGAAGCCUCUCUUGAAUGUAUUAAUUCAGUAAACAGUUAUGGAGUCCUUACAAUGUGCUAGUGGGACUUUGAAGAUGAAUCCAAAUUUGGAUCCUGGCCUGGAAAGGCUCAAAGCCCAAUAUGGGAGCCUGGAUACAAAUGUGAAACUUAUCUUCUUUUAUUAACCAAUCAAUCACCUCCUGCCAAAACAACAUCAGCAAAAACAACAGAAAAAAACAAAAACAAAAACAAAAACAAAUCUGUGUACACAAGACCUUUGUUUCCACAGCAGACUUGGCUAAAGGUUUGGGCAUGCAUAUGCAUACCCCCAAAAUUAAAAAUGGAAAAUUGAA